This 433-nucleotide ribosomal RNA is filed under the name uncultured bacterium. Its description in RNAcentral is "partial 16S ribosomal RNA". It matches the Rfam family "Bacterial small subunit ribosomal RNA", at positions 29 to 507 of the family's 1533-position model. The record is from RNAcentral.
AACGAACGCUGGCGGCAUGCCUAACACAUGCAAGUCGAACGAGACCUUCGGGGUUAGUGGCGCACGGGUGCGUAACGCGUGGGAACCUGCCCUUAGGUUCGGAAUAACUCCCCGAAAGGGGUGCUAAUACCGGAUAAUGUCUUCGGACCAAAGAUUUAUCGCCUUUGGAUGGGCCCGCGUUGGAUUAGCUAGUUGGUAGGGUAAAAGCCUACCAAGGCGACGAUCCAUAGCUGGUCUGAGAGGAUGAUCAGCCACACUGGGACUGAGACACGGCCCAGACUCCUACGGGAGGCAGCAGUGGGGAAUAUUGGGCAAUGGGCGAAAGCCUGACCCAGCAAUGCCGCGUGAGUGAUGAAGGCCUUAGGGUUGUAAAGCUCUUUUACCCGGGACGAUAAUGACAGUACCGGGAGAAUAAGCUCCGGCUAACUCCGUG